This 244-nucleotide long non-coding RNA is filed under the name Elaeis guineensis (African oil palm). RNAcentral describes it as "long non-coding RNA (EGUI_LNC008109)". The record is from RNAcentral. Lineage: Eukaryota; Viridiplantae; Streptophyta; Magnoliopsida; Arecales; Arecaceae.
UAUGAUGUAUUAAACACAUCUCCAUGGAUAACUGGUUGGCAACAGCUCAAUGAUCCCCUUUAUAUCUGACCUCUCCAAAAUGACCUUUAGAGCAUCUUCUUUAUUGAACACGCAUUGAGGGACCAUGCCUACACAGGGAAUAUCCCUACCCUAAUCUCUCUACAAUCAAUAGAAAAGUAACUCCUUUGAUAGUGCAGCCCACAUCACCUGAUCUCCAGGCUAAAACUAUUGAACUCCCUCACCA